UACGGGGGGGGCAAGCGUUGUUCGGAAUUACUGGGCGUAAAGGGUUUGUAGGUGGCUUGUUAAGUCAGACGUGAAAUCCCUCAGCUUAACUGGGGAACUGCGUCUGAUACUGGCGAGCUUGAGUGCAGGAGAGGAACGCGGAAUUCCAGGUGUAGCGGUGAAAUGCGUAGAUAUCUGGAGGAACACCGGUGGCGAAGGCGGCGUUCUGGGCCAUACCUGACGCUAAAGCGCGACAGCAUGGGGAGCAAACGGG
Molecule: ribosomal RNA, 253 nt
Filed under: uncultured bacterium
Lineage: Bacteria
Description: partial 16S ribosomal RNA
Rfam family: Bacterial small subunit ribosomal RNA
Source: RNAcentral